This 73-nucleotide transfer RNA is filed under the name Pangasianodon gigas (Mekong giant catfish). RNAcentral describes it as "tRNA-Glu". It matches the Rfam family "tRNA". From Rfam's summary of the family: Transfer RNA (tRNA) molecules are approximately 80 nucleotides in length. Their secondary structure includes four short double-helical elements and three loops (D, anti-codon, and T loops). The record is from RNAcentral. Lineage: Eukaryota; Metazoa; Chordata; Actinopteri; Siluriformes; Pangasiidae.
UCCCUGGUGGUCUAGUGGCUAAGGAUCCCGUGCUCUCACCACGACAGCCUGGGUUCAAUUCCCAGCCAGGGAA